RNAcentral lists this ribosomal RNA (451 nucleotides) under uncultured bacterium. RNAcentral describes it as "bacterial SSU rRNA". It matches the Rfam family "Bacterial small subunit ribosomal RNA", at positions 354 to 796 of the family's 1533-position model. The record is from RNAcentral.
GUAGGGAAUUUUGCGCAAUGGACGAAAGUCUGACGCAGCAACUCCGCGUGAGGGAUGAAGGUCUUCGGAUUGUAAACCUCUGUUGGGUGGGAAGAAAACUUUCACUAGUAACAAUAGUGGAACUUGACGGUACCACCUGAGGAAGCUCCGGCUAACUACGUGCCAGCAGCCGCGGUAAUACGUAGGGAGCUAGCGUUGUUCGGAAUCACUGGGCGUAAAGAGAACGUAGGCGGAAGAGUGUGUUAGGAGUGAAAUGUAUCGGCUUAACCGGUAACGUGCUUUUAAUACUACUUUUCUUGAGUAUAGGAGAGGAAGAUGGAAUUCCAGGUGUAGCGGUGGAAUGCGUAGAUAUCUGGAAGAACACCAGUAGCGAAGGCGGUUUUCUGGCCUAAUACUGACGCUGAGGUUCGAAAGCUAGGGGAGCAAACAGGAUUAGAUACCCUUGUAGUCC